AUGCGAAUUUUUUAAACAUUAUUUAUGCUGUAUAUUACUCAGAAGGAAUAAAUAGGUUUUCCCUUAAUCUGAUUUAGGUUCCAUAUCUGUUAUAAAUUGAAAGGUAUUUUUAUUGCCGGACUAGUAAAAAAAAUUCCUUGCGAUGAUGUAGUAAAUUAUAAAACUAAUUUCAUGUACUGUCGACGUUAUCUUAAAAAAAUAAAAAGCUAAAGUGGCGCCACCAUAUUAGGCUUUUUUAUUUGCCCAAUCAUGAUAUAACAUGAAAAUAACAAUAUUACGUAGCUGUUAGUAUAUGAUGAUUGCUUCAUGAGACUUAAAUUAAUUUACACUUGAUAUGCAACGUUUGCCGCGUACAAUUUAUUCAAAUAAUUGGCCAGUUAGCAGUUGCUAAGCAGCUCGGUCGUAUUUUUUUUUUUUAUUUUUAUUUACAUAUUUGUUAAUAACUUACACAGCAUAUUCUUCUAACAAAUGCAAUCAUAAACUCAGUGAGUUUUUCCGUGCAUCAUAUCAUUGACAGUAAUAUUUUUUUAUAUUUGUUGUGUACAAGGUAGAUUACAAUAAAUAAAAUAAUAUGAUAUUGUGUAUCACCUACUGAGCCGGCCGACGCACUGCGUAUCGUUAAAAAGUAUAUAAUCCGGCGGUAGAUGUCAAUUACAAGUUGAAAUAGAGGCUGUUCCUAAGAUUUUUUAAGUUUCUUUUAUUAUUAUUUUUUUGCUUAAUAUUGUAAGCACUUACUUGUUUAAUGGGGUCUAAGUAUUUUUUACCUUUUCUCAAUGUUUUUUUUUUAGUUUUGUGGGAUCUACCCACAUAACCACAUAUCGCUGUUAAGCAUGCGAACUGGCUACAGUGGGUGCAAUCUCACACCGCGUACAUGGAGCGCAAAAUGUCUGUCCAAUCGAACAAACCAAGACGGUACGUGGCGUGCUCACCGGCAUCGGACCUGAGGUGCAAUCAGCCAUCGGCGCGCUGAGGCGCACAUAUUUAUAGUGUGCGAGCGGGCGCGCUAUAGGUUCGUGCGAGAGAGAUGGACUGCUGCCCGCGCGCACUCAUUGGUUGUGUCAACCUUACUGGCGUUAAGCAAUUGAUAUAAAUAUAGGGCACCUGUAUCAAUAAAUCAUUCAUUAUUAAUCCGA
Manduca sexta (tobacco hornworm) is the source of this 1133-nucleotide long non-coding RNA. RefSeq lists it as uncharacterized. The transcript has 2 exons. NCBI's taxonomy places the organism in Eukaryota, Metazoa, Arthropoda, Insecta, Lepidoptera, Sphingidae. The record is from RefSeq and is a predicted model, not a curated record.